AGAGGGUGAUCGGCCACACUGGAACUGAGACACGGUCCAGACUCCUACGGGAGGCAGCAGUAGGGAAUCUUCCGCAAUGGGCGAAAGCCUGACGGAGCAACGCCGCGUGAGUGAUGAAGGUCUUCGGAUCGUAAAACUCUGUUAUUAGGGAAGAACAUAUGUGUAAGUAACUGUGCACAUCUUGACGGUACCUAAUCAGAAAGCCACGGCUAACUACGUGCCAGCAGCCGCGGUAAUACGUAGGUGGCAAGCGUUAUCCGGAAUUAUUGGGCGUAAAGCGCGCGUAGGCGGUUUUUUAAGUCUGAUGUGAAAGCCCACGGCUCAACCGUGGAGGGUCAUUGGAAACUGGAAAACUUGAGUGCAGAAGAGGAAAGUGGAAUUCCAUGUGUAGCGGUGAAAUGCGCAGAGAUAUGGAGGAACACCAGUGGCGAAGGCGACUUUCUGGUCUGUAACUGACGCUGAUGUGCGAAAGCGUGGGGAUCAAACAGGAUUAGAUACC
This 499-nucleotide ribosomal RNA is filed under the name Staphylococcus aureus. RNAcentral describes it as "bacterial SSU rRNA". It matches the Rfam family "Bacterial small subunit ribosomal RNA", at positions 295 to 786 of the family's 1533-position model. Lineage: Bacteria; Bacillati; Bacillota; Bacilli; Caryophanales; Staphylococcaceae. The record is from RNAcentral.